Molecule: ribosomal RNA, 44 nt
Filed under: Aurantiochytrium limacinum
Lineage: Eukaryota; Bigyra; Thraustochytrida; Thraustochytriidae
Description: partial 28S ribosomal RNA
Source: RNAcentral
AAACCUCAUGUUGGAAAGAAGACCAGCUGAAUUUAAGCAUAUCA